Molecule: ribosomal RNA, 253 nt
Filed under: uncultured bacterium
Lineage: Bacteria
Description: partial 16S ribosomal RNA
Rfam family: Bacterial small subunit ribosomal RNA
Source: RNAcentral
UACGGAGGGGGCAAGCGUUGUGCGGAUUUAUUGGGCGUAAAGAGCGUGUAGGCGGCCAGGUAGGUCUGCUGUGAAAACUCGAGGCUUAACCUCGAGCUGGCGGCGGAAACCAUCUGGCUAGAGUCCGGAAGAGGAGAAUGGAAUUCCCGGUGUAGCGGUGAAAUGCGCAGAUAUCGGGAAGAACACCCGUGGCGAAGGCGGUUCUCUGGGACGGUACUGACGCUGAGACGCGAAAGCGUGGGGAGCGAACAGG